ACGGAGGGAGCUAGCGUUGUUCGGAAUUACUGGGCGUAAAGCGUACGUAGGCGGUUAUUCAAGUCAGAGGUGAAAGCCUGGAGCUCAACUCCAGAACUGCCUUUGAAACUAGAUAGCUAGAAUCUUGGAGAGGUGAGUGGAAUUCCGAGUGUAGAGGUGAAAUUCGUAGAUAUUCGGAAGAACACCAGUGGCGAAGGCGACUCACUGGACAAGUAUUGACGCUGAGGUACGAAAGCGUGGGGAGCAAACAGGA
RNAcentral lists this ribosomal RNA (253 nucleotides) under uncultured prokaryote. RNAcentral's name for it is "partial 16S ribosomal RNA". It matches the Rfam family "Bacterial small subunit ribosomal RNA", at positions 525 to 777 of the family's 1533-position model. The record is from RNAcentral.